RNAcentral lists this ribosomal RNA (523 nucleotides) under Salmonella enterica subsp. enterica serovar Derby. RNAcentral describes it as "partial 23S ribosomal RNA". It matches the Rfam family "Bacterial large subunit ribosomal RNA", at positions 690 to 1211 of the family's 2925-position model. Lineage: Bacteria; Pseudomonadati; Pseudomonadota; Gammaproteobacteria; Enterobacterales; Enterobacteriaceae. The record is from RNAcentral. RNAcentral also lists the same sequence under 2 other names.
GGGCGUUAAGUUGCAGGGUAUAGACCCGAAACCCGGUGAUCUAGCCAUGGGCAGGUUGAAGGUUGGGUAACACUAACUGGAGGACCGAACCGACUAAUGUUGAAAAAUUAGCGGAUGACUUGUGGCUGGGGGUGAAAGGCCAAUCAAACCGGGAGAUAGCUGGUUCUCCCCGAAAGCUAUUUAGGUAGCGCCUCGUGAAUUCAUCUCCGGGGGUAGAGCACUGUUUCGGCAAGGGGGUCAUCCCGACUUACCAACCCGAUGCAAACUGCGAAUACCGGAGAAUGUUAUCACGGGAGACACACGGCGGGUGCUAACGUCCGUCGUGAAGAGGGAAACAACCCAGACCGCCAGCUAAGGUCCCAAAGUCAUGGUUAAGUGGGAAACGAUGUGGGAAGGCCCAGACAGCCAGGAUGUUGGCUUAGAAGCAGCCAUCAUUUAAAGAAAGCGUAAUAGCUCACUGGUCGAGUCGGCCUGCGCGGAAGAUGUAACGGGGCUAAACCAUGCACCGAAGCUGCGGCAGCGA